RNAcentral lists this transfer RNA (64 nucleotides) under Habrophlebiodes zijinensis. RNAcentral describes it as "tRNA-His". The record is from RNAcentral. Lineage: Eukaryota; Metazoa; Arthropoda; Insecta; Ephemeroptera; Leptophlebiidae.
AUUUAAAUAGUUUAAAAAAAAUAUUGAUUUGUGGUGUCAAAGAUGUGAAAUUUUUCUUUAAAUU